CAUGCGUGUAAACUUACAGCAAAUGAUGUUUCAUUUUAUUUGCACUUAAGCAUGUUUUCAUAGAAAGAGCACAUAACUAGAGCAAGCAGAUACAUCUGCUCACCUGUUUAAAAAAUACAGUCAGCAAUUAGUGAACUUCACUGAGGCAGAUAUGCUGUGGCCAUACAGCGCAUUCAGACAUAGUUAUGAAGGAGGGUCUGACUUUAUUAAUGGGAUUAAACGCGAGCUGUUCCUCAUCACAUCAGUGCUAUAUGGCAGUGCUUUAUUUGGUGCAGAACGCGCUCACAUCAGUCUACAGCUUUUUAACAUGUUAGAAGGGAAAUUUUACAGGAAGGUGCGCCGUUGGAUUUACACCUCAGGAUUUCGCGCGUAAAAGCACAGCGGAGGUAAGAAGCUGCCUCUUCUGUGGCAGACCCAGACGCCCGCUGAUUGGACAAGCGGAAUAUCAGUCACAGCAUGGCCCCGCCCCCACCCUCCCAUUCAACCACUGGCUCUAAUGUAGCCCUGUGUUUACUACAGAAUUAGUGCAUAGCGGACGACAGUCUCCUGAACUGUGAACUCCGAAUCACAAAAGAUAACCUGUUAGUUUUGCAUAAAAGAAGAAAAAUAUCCCAAACUCAACAUGCCCAAGAGAAAGGGAACUGAUGGAGAAGUCAAGGAGGAGCCUCAGAGAAGGUCUGCUAGAUUAUCAGCGAAACCAACGCCUCCAAAACCUGAACCCAAACCGAAAAAAACUCCCAAGAAAGAGAAGGAAGUGAAUGAUAAAAAGGAAGAAAAGAAAGCAAAGGCUGAGGAAUCCAAGGAGGAAAACCAAUCAGAAAAUGGGGAGACUAAGACCAAUGAGGUAUAUAUGUACAUACACAACAGUCUACCUCAAAUCAGUGUCUAUCAUUAAUAAACACACUUUAUUGGUCCCACAGUGGACACAAAAAAUCACGUCAGGUCAUAAUGCUUGUUUAUUGUAUAUUGAGUUUCCUUUCCAAACAUGAGCAAUAAACACAUUUCUGUCUGCUUUUUAAUAUUUUCG
Cyprinus carpio (common carp) is the source of this 1027-nucleotide long non-coding RNA. NCBI's taxonomy places the organism in Eukaryota, Metazoa, Chordata, Actinopteri, Cypriniformes, Cyprinidae. The record is from Ensembl.